This 603-nucleotide long non-coding RNA is filed under the name Citrus x clementina. RNAcentral's name for it is "Citrus clementina (C. clementina) long non-coding RNA (CCLE_LNC004585)". Lineage: Eukaryota; Viridiplantae; Streptophyta; Magnoliopsida; Sapindales; Rutaceae. The record is from RNAcentral.
AAGAAAAAUCUGUGUUUCAAAUGUCACUCUCACUCAACAUGGCCUUAUGGAUUGGUUGGUUACUUGUUUAUGUACCGUUUUGACGUGGAAAUUAAAUGGAGUUUUGGUGGUUCCAGGAAUGCUGGUUGGUGCCAUUGAAAUGACAGUGGAAGAAGUGAAAAUGGACGUGAUCAAGGCAAGGGACAGGUUUUGGUCAUAAAUGGUGGUUGGCUAAUGAAUAAUGGGCGUGGGGUCAGAGUUAACGCCGUUACUGUUAGUGGCGGCUGACUUUUAUUUAAAAGCUGCGCGCUUCCUUCUCUCCAGUCUCCUCAAGCUUCUGUUUGUCUGCUUCUGUUGAAACACGUCUGCUCAUCAUCUUCUAUUCCUUGUCUGUAUUUUAUAAUUUUUUUUUUUUUACUUUUAUGUAUUUGCAUUUAGGGAUAUCAAUCUUACCCAUAACCUCAUAAAUUCAUCUAAAUCCAUAAGUAAAAACAUGGUUGUUGUGGAUUUGAUAAUUUAAAUUUUGUGUAAGUACAUAUUUAAUAAUGGCAAACCUGCUGCAAGCAGUAUCUAUUGUUAUCUCUAUUUGCCUUUGAAAAAAGUAAUGAAUUAAUUAAGUUAAUU